UUGUUGGUUGGAAAAUAAAAAAGAUUUUGAGAGAGUAAUUUCUUCAAGUUGGGUGGAUACAACAAGAAAAGUUGUUUAUUGGCCAAAUGGUUUGCAUGUAAAACGUGCAUUUGAAAAUUUAGAAACGCCUAAAACUCGAUGGAAACAGUUCUCUCUAAUCAAAGUCAAAAUUAGCGGUACAAAAGAAGACUGUGAAGGCUGCACAGAUUACACGACCACCGAGGAAACAACGGAACCUGUGGAAAUAAUUUCUUCUGAUAAAGGAAAAAUCAUUCCAAAUAUACCUCCAACAUUCCCAACAUGUAAAGUUAUUGCAACUGCCCCACCACCCCAUUUACAAUCCACCCCAGUUAGACCACCACCAUCAAGAUCAAAACACUCACAACUUGGUUUACAUUCAAGAUCGUAUUCAGGGUUAAACUUGCAUUCACGAGCACAUUCACGGUCAAGGUCACAAUUACGGUCUAAGUCUCGUUCACGUUAAAGAUCACGUUAUCA
Hydra vulgaris (swiftwater hydra) is the source of this 498-nucleotide non-coding RNA. The record is from RefSeq and is a predicted model, not a curated record. Lineage: Eukaryota; Metazoa; Cnidaria; Hydrozoa; Anthoathecata; Hydridae.